CCUACGGUGGCAGCAGUGGGGAAUAUUGGACAAUGGGCGAAAGCCUGAUCCAGCCAUGCCGCGUGUGUGAAGAAGGCCUUCGGGUUGUAAAGCACUUUCAGUGGGGAAGAAAGCCUUGGGGCUAAUACCCUCGAGGAAGGACAUCACCCACUGAAGAAGCACCGGCUAACUCCGUGCCAGCAGCCGCGGUAAUACGGAGGGUGCGAGCGUUAAUCGGAAUUACUGGGCGUAAAGCGCGCGUAGGCGGUCUGAUAAGCCGGUUGUGAAAGCCCCGGGCUCAACCUGGGAACGGCAUCCGGAACUGUCAGGCUAGAGUGCAGGAGAGGAAGGUAGAAUUCCCGGUGUAGCGGUGAAAUGCGUAGAGAUCGGGAGGAAUACCAGUGGCGAAGGCGGCCUUCUGGACUGACACUGACGCUGAGGUGCGAAAGCGUGGGUAGCAAACAGGAUUAGAUACCCCAGUAGUC
This 464-nucleotide ribosomal RNA is filed under the name Vreelandella stevensii. Its description in RNAcentral is "partial 16S ribosomal RNA". It matches the Rfam family "Bacterial small subunit ribosomal RNA", at positions 338 to 795 of the family's 1533-position model. The record is from RNAcentral. Lineage: Bacteria; Pseudomonadati; Pseudomonadota; Gammaproteobacteria; Oceanospirillales; Halomonadaceae.